GACGGAGGGUGCAAGCGUUGUUCGGAUUGACUGGGCGUAAAGGGCGUGUAGGCGGUUCGUUAAGUCGGGUGUGAAAGCCCGGGGCUCAGCUCCGGAAGUGCGUCCGAAACUGGCGAGCUGGAGCGCGGUAGAGGAGGGUGGAAUUCCUGGUGUAGCGGUGAAAUGCGUAGAUAUCCGGAGGAAGACCGGUGGCGAAGGCGGUCUGCUGGGCAGUUUCUGACACCGAUGCGCGACAGCGUGGGGAGCAAACAGG
Molecule: ribosomal RNA, 253 nt
Filed under: uncultured prokaryote
Description: partial 16S ribosomal RNA
Rfam family: Bacterial small subunit ribosomal RNA
Source: RNAcentral